This 250-nucleotide ribosomal RNA is filed under the name uncultured bacterium. RNAcentral describes it as "partial 16S ribosomal RNA". It matches the Rfam family "Bacterial small subunit ribosomal RNA", at positions 524 to 776 of the family's 1533-position model. The record is from RNAcentral.
AACGGGGGGUGCGGGCGUUACUCAACAUGACUGGGCGUAAAGGGCCGCUAGGCUGCCGGUCCAGCAAGGGGUGAAAUUCGGCUUUGGGCUGGACUGUCCCUUGGACGGACCGGCUGGGGUCCGGUAGGGGGUGGCGGUAUCUCCGGUGUAGAGGUAAAAUUCGGCGAUAUCGGAGGGACCAACGCCAGGCGAAGGCAGCCACCUGGUCCGGCACCGACGCUGACCGGCAAAAGCGUGGGGAGCAAACGGG